This 465-nucleotide ribosomal RNA is filed under the name uncultured bacterium. RNAcentral's name for it is "bacterial SSU rRNA". It matches the Rfam family "Bacterial small subunit ribosomal RNA", at positions 338 to 795 of the family's 1533-position model. The record is from RNAcentral.
CCUACGGGUUGCAGCAGUGGGGAAUAUUGCACAAUGGGCGCAAGCCUGAUGCAGCCAUGCCGCGUGUAUGAAGAAGGCCUUCGGGUUGUAAAGUACUUUCAGCGAGGAGGAAGGCAUUAAGGUUAAUAACCUUAGUGAUUGACGUUACUCGCAGAAGAAGCACCGGCUAACUCCGUGCCAGCAGCCGCGGUAAUACGGAGGGUGCAAGCGUUAAUCGGAAUUACUGGGCGUAAAGCGCACGCAGGCGGUGUGUCAAGUCGGAUGUGAAAUCCCCGGGCUCAACCUGGGAACUGCAUUCGAAACUGGCAGGCUAGAGUCUUGUAGAGGGGGGUAGGAUUCCAGGUGUAGCGGUGAAAUGCGUAGAGAUCUGGAGGAAUGCCGGUGGCGAAGGCGGCCCCCUGGACGAAGACUGACGCUCAGGUGCGAAAGCGUGGGGAGCAAACAGGAUUAGAUACCCGAGUAGUC